RNAcentral lists this ribosomal RNA (465 nucleotides) under Vreelandella stevensii. Its description in RNAcentral is "partial 16S ribosomal RNA". It matches the Rfam family "Bacterial small subunit ribosomal RNA", at positions 338 to 795 of the family's 1533-position model. The record is from RNAcentral. Lineage: Bacteria; Pseudomonadati; Pseudomonadota; Gammaproteobacteria; Oceanospirillales; Halomonadaceae.
CCUACGGGUGGCUGCAGUGGGGAAUAUUGGACAAUGGGGGCAACCCUGAUCCAGCCAUGCCGCGUGUGUGAAGAAGGCCCUCGGGUUGUAAAGCACUUUCAGUGGGGAAGAACGCCUGGUGGUUAAUACCCAUCAGGAAAGACAUCACUCACAGAAGAAGCACCGGCUAACUCCGUGCCAGCAGCCGCGGUAAUACGGAGGGUGCGAGCGUUAAUCGGAAUUACUGGGCGUAAAGCGCGCGUAGGUGGCUUGAUAAGCCGGUUGUGAAAGCCCCGGGCUCAACCUGGGAACGGCAUCCGGAACUGUCAAGCUAGAGUGCAGGAGAGGAAGGUAGAAUUCCCGGUGUAGCGGUGAAAUGCGUAGAGAUCGGGAGGAAUACCAGUGGCGAAGGCGGCCUUCUGGACUGACACUGACACUGAGGUGCGAAAGCGUGGGUAGCAAACAGGAUUAGAUACCCGUGUAGUC